AUUGAACGCUGGCGGCAGGCCUAACACAUGCAAGUCGAGCGAGCGGCGGACGGGUGAGUAAUGUCUGGGAAACUGCCUGAUGGAGGGGGAUAACUAGUGGAAAAGGUAGCUAAUACCGCAUACCAUCAGAUGUGCCCAGAUGGGAUUAGCUAGUAGGUGGGGUAACGGCUCACCAAGGCAACGAUCCCUAGCCGGUCUGAGAGGAUGACCAGCCACACUGGAACUGAGACACGGUCCAGACUCCUACGGGAGGCAGCAGUGGGGAAUAUUGCACAAUGGGCGCAAGCCUGAUGCAGCAAUGCCGCGUGAGUGAAGAAGGCCUUCGGGUUGUAAAGCACUGUCAGCAGGGAGGCGUUACCCACAGAAGAAGCACCGGCUAACUCCGUGCCAGCAGCCGCGGUAAUUC
Molecule: ribosomal RNA, 406 nt
Filed under: uncultured bacterium
Lineage: Bacteria
Description: partial 16S ribosomal RNA
Rfam family: Bacterial small subunit ribosomal RNA
Source: RNAcentral